ACGAACGCUGGCGGCGUGCUUAACACAUGCAAGUCGAACGGAAAGGCCCUGCUUUUGUGGGGUGCUCGAGUGGCGAACGGGUGAGUAACACGUGAGUAACCUGCCCUUGACUUUGGGAUAACUUCAGGAAGCUGGGGCUAAUACCGGAUAGGAGCUCCUGCUGCAUGGUGGGGGUUGGAAAGUUUCGGCGGUUGGGGAUGGACUCGCGGCUUAUCAGCUUGUUGGUGGGGUAGUGGCUUACCAAGGCUUUGACGGGUAGCCGGCCUGAGAGGGUGACCGGCCCCAUUGGGACUGAGAUACGGCCCAGACUCCUACGGGAGGCAGCAGUGGGGAAUAUUGCACAAUGGGCGGAAGCCUGAUGCAGCAACGCCGCGUGCGGGAUGACGGCCUUCGGGUUGUAAACCGCUUUCGCCUGUGACGAAGCGUGAGUGACGGUAAUGGGUAAAGAAGCACCGGCUAACUACGUG
RNAcentral lists this ribosomal RNA (467 nucleotides) under uncultured bacterium. Its description in RNAcentral is "partial 16S ribosomal RNA". It matches the Rfam family "Bacterial small subunit ribosomal RNA", at positions 29 to 507 of the family's 1533-position model. The record is from RNAcentral.